CUAGCAUAUCAAUAAGCGGAGGAAAAGAAACCAACAGGGAUUGCUCUAGUAACGGCGAGUGAAGCAGCAAUAGCUCAAAUUUGAAAUCUGGCGUCUUCGACGUCCGAGUUGUAAUUUGUAGAGGAUGCUUCUGAGUGGCCACCGACCUAAGUUCCUUGGAACAGGACGUCAUAGAGGGUGAGAAUCCCGUAUGCGGUCGGAAAGGCGCUCUAUACGUAGCUCCUUCGACGAGUCGAGUUGUUUGGGAAUGCAGCUCUAAAUGGGAGGUAAAUUUCUUCUAAAGCUAAAUAUUGGCCAGAGACCGAUAGCGCACAAGUAGAGUGAUCGAAAGAUGAAAAGCACUUUGGAAAGAGAGUUAAAAAGCACGUGAAAUUGUUAAAAGGGAAGGGAUUGCAACCAGACUUGCUCGCGGUGUUCCGCCGGUCUUCUGACCGGUCUACUCGCCGCGUUGCAGGCCAGCAUCGUCUGGUGCCGCUGGAUAAGACUUGAGGAAUGUAGCUCCCUCGGGAGUGUUAUAGCCUCUUGUGAUGCAGCGAGCGCCGGGCGAGGUCCGCGCUUCGGCUAGGAUGCUGGCGUAAUGGUCGUAAUCCGCCCGUCUUGAAACACGGACCAAGGAGUCUAACAUCUAUGCGAGUGUUCGGGUGUCAAACCCCUACGCGUAAUGAAAGUGAACGGAGGUGAGAACCGCAAGGUGCAUCAUCGACCGAUCCUGAUGUCUUCGGAUGGAUUUGAGUAAGAGCAUAGCUGUUGGGACCCGAAAGAUGGUGAACUAUGCCUGAAUAGGGUGAAGCCAGAGGAAACUCUGGUGGAGGCUCGCAGCGGUUCUGACGUGCAAAUCGAUCGUCAAAUUUGGGUAUAGGGGCGAAAGACUAAUCGAACCAUCUAGUAGCUGGUUCCUGCCGAAG
Molecule: ribosomal RNA, 905 nt
Filed under: Cladosporium herbarum
Lineage: Eukaryota; Fungi; Ascomycota; Dothideomycetes; Cladosporiales; Cladosporiaceae
Description: LSU rRNA
Rfam family: Eukaryotic large subunit ribosomal RNA
Source: RNAcentral